Molecule: long non-coding RNA, 361 nt
Organism: Frieseomelitta varia
Lineage: Eukaryota; Metazoa; Arthropoda; Insecta; Hymenoptera; Apidae
Exons: 2
Source: RefSeq, a predicted model, not a curated record
UCUGUGAAUUGUGGAGUCACAAUUAAUGGUUCAUGUUGCAAUAAUUGUUCCUGUUGAUAGGAAUGAAUAGAAUAAUAUGGAUCAUAUUUGGUGAAAUUUUCUGCAGAUGAUACUGCCAAGGAAUUUGCCACUGCCACUAGGAAACAAUAAAUAUAUACACACGUAUAAUCUCUAAUGCUUAUAAAAAUGUUUCUUUGAUUUACAAUCUUGCAACAUUUGGAUGUUGGAGAAACUAUGUAUAAAGGCUUUGUCCGAGGCAAUGUUGGGAACUCUAUAAGAAGAAGGAAUAUUUGUAAUGUUUUUAUAUGUUGAAUUGAAAUGUUAAUGAUUGAUGAAUAUAAAAUUUUUAUUACUGAUUAAA